RNAcentral lists this long non-coding RNA (1040 nucleotides) under Nicotiana benthamiana. Its description in RNAcentral is "long non-coding RNA (NBEN_LNC010898)". Lineage: Eukaryota; Viridiplantae; Streptophyta; Magnoliopsida; Solanales; Solanaceae. The record is from RNAcentral.
GUGGGACUAUACUUGGUAGUUGUUGUUGUUGUUGUUGCUAAAGACAAGGAUGAUACGCUACUAGAAAAUCGACGAACUAGGCACCAAAUAAUAUAACAUAAGGGAAUCAAACUAAGAUUAUAACAUAAGGGAAUCAAACUAAGAUUAUAACAUAAGGGAAUCAAACUAAGAUUAUAACAUAAGAGGAUAUGGAAAAUUCAAUAUGUGGGAUGGAGAUGUUCUUCUCAAUCUUGGUUGCUUUGAGACCUGGAAAGUUUAGCUUUUAUACGUCACGUAAUCUCUCAACAUAAAAAUGAAAGGUUAAUAAAUAAACUGAGCACACACCCUCAGAUGAACUCUCCUGGUUGAUAGCAAAAGAACAUAUAAUAAAUUAGCAGUCAGCUAUAUAUGGUCAAUAAAUCCUAACUUUUCACAAAAUCCCACUUGCCAUUCUCUAGUUACCAAUUAGAUGUAAAACCAAUACACUUCUUGUACUGCCCUUGAAAACAUAUGAGUCAAUUUGUAGAAUAUCCCAUUACUUAAUUUUGUAGAUUUACAUCGAAAUAUCCACCAACAAAUGGAUCUUUUUCUAUUUCUUCCCAUUUACAGCCUUCUGAUGGAGUUAAAUUUUUUGAUGAUUUCUUGGCCAAUAAGGUAAAAUUUUCCAUACAUUUCUAAUUGUGAACGAGAGAGAAGUAUACAUUCUUCAGUCUAGAAAACAUAGAAACACUAGGAAAGAAAAGAAAGCUACAAAACAUAUAACUCUACGAUAUAAAGAUGAACCAGAGAACCUGUAAUCAGAGGAGUGACACACCAAAAGCCUAUUAACCGGUCAAUUCUCUGUUCAAAUUUCUGUCCGGCGCCGGUGAGAGCAGCUAGUCCAACCCACCCACCUCUCUCCCUCUCUCUAUAUCUCGUUGGCUAUGCCAUUUGGAGAAAGUUUAUGUUAUGUUUCACACUACUUGUGGAUGGCGGUCCUUGUCAGCAAAAAUAAUUCUUACCCAACUGCUUUAAUUUUUGCUUGUCCAUUUUAUACUUUAAAAAAUUAUAAAUAAGAUAUA